Molecule: non-coding RNA, 90 nt
Filed under: Pseudomonas sp. GV085
Lineage: Bacteria; Pseudomonadati; Pseudomonadota; Gammaproteobacteria; Pseudomonadales; Pseudomonadaceae
Source: RNAcentral
GAGCGAGCCUGCUCGCGAUGGACGUUAACGAUAACGCGUGUUUUCUGAGUAAACGCGCCGCCCUUGAGUCCAUCGCGAGCAGGCUCGCUC